AAGUCGUAACAAGGUUUCCGUAGGUGAUAUCCUCCCGGUUUGCCUACCGAAGCCCCGGCGGCGCGACUCGAAAGAACGCUGCUUCAGUUGGCCCUCAUCUCGGUCGGGGCCGGCGACGCUAUCAUCUGCGACUGAAGCGUCUACGAGCGCACCAGCAGCUCACCGGAGUCCAACAGAUGCGAACCGAUUCGGCAGGCCAUUCGUUAAUGGUUUAGAUAUGAUCGGCCCCAGCCGCCACCGGCUGGCGAAUCCCGCGGAACCUGCGGAAGGAUCAUUACUGAGAGAGGGCCUCGCGCCCCCGGGGGGUUUCGGCCCCCCAACUCUUCAACCCUGUGUGAACGUACCUUUGUUGCUUUGGCGGGCUGCGGCGCUGACUCCCACACCGGGGUCGCCCGUGCCAGCGGCGCUAACCCGCAGAUGCUGGACCAUAAGCUCCCGUCAGAGGCCCAUCAAAACCCUUUGAAUUAGCGUCGUCCCGAGUACAAACAAUAGUAAAAA
This 498-nucleotide unclassified non-coding RNA is filed under the name plant metagenome. RNAcentral's name for it is "partial contains small subunit ribosomal RNA and internal transcribed spacer 1". The record is from RNAcentral.